AAAGAAAAUAACAAUGAUUCCCCUAGUAACUGCGAGUGAAGAGGGACAAGCUCAAAUUUUAAAUCUGUUAGGUUUACCUAACCGAGUUGUAAUUUGAAGAGGCGUUUUCUGUGUUUCUGACCAGCCCAAGUCCUUUGGGAUAGGGCAUCAUGGAGGGUGAGAAUCCCGUUCGGUUGAUCAGAUUCGCUUUACGAUACGUCAUCUAAGAGUCAAGUUGUUUGGGAUUGCAGCUUAAAAUGGGAGGUAAAUUUCUCCUAAGGCUAAAUAACGGCGAGAGACCGAUAGCGAACAAGUACCGUGAGGGAAAGAUGAAAAGAACUUUGAAAAGAGAGUUAAAUAGCACGUGAAAUUGUUGAAAGGGAAACGAUUGAAGCCAGUCGUACCUGCGGACAAUCAGCCUUUCGGGUGCGGUUAUGUGGAGCGUGAGGAGUUAAACGCCUUCAUGCCCGCGUAUUUGUACUCUGGGGUGUACUUGGACGUGCGGUAGGUUAACAUCAAUUUCGGAUGUCAUAAAAUGGCUGGAGGAAUGUAGCUUCGGUCUCGUACUGAAGUGUUAUAGCCUUUGGUAGAUGUGAUGACCGGGAUUGAGGAUUGCAACGAAUACCUUUUGGGUUAUCCGCCAGAUCUCUGAAAGUUGCUCUGGUGCCGAAAGCUUGCUUACGGUUAUCAAAGUUGACGUUCAAAAGGUUAGAACGGGUUAAAUUCGUUAAGGAUGUUG
RNAcentral lists this ribosomal RNA (718 nucleotides) under uncultured Glomus. RNAcentral's name for it is "eukaryotic LSU rRNA". It matches the Rfam family "Eukaryotic large subunit ribosomal RNA", at positions 58 to 628 of the family's 3401-position model. The record is from RNAcentral. Lineage: Eukaryota; Fungi; Glomeromycota; Glomeromycetes; Glomerales; Glomeraceae.